GAUCAUGGCUCAGGAUGAACGCUGGCGGCGUGCUAACACAUGCAAGUCGAACGAAGCAACUAUCUUGCUGCAAGAGAGUUGACUUAGUGGCGGACGGGUGAGUAACGCGUGGGUAACCUGCCUCAUACAGGGGGAUAACAGUUGGAGACGACUGCUAAGACCGCAUAACCCGCUAGUGUCGCAUGACACGGACGGAAAAUAUUUAUAGGUAUGAGAUGGGCCCGCGUCUGAUUAGCUAGUUGGUAAGGUAACGGCUUACCAAGGCGACGAUCAGUAGCCGACUUGAGAGAGUGAUCGGCCACAUUGGGACUGAGACACGGCCCAAACUCCUACGGGAGGCAGCAGUGGGGAAUAUUGGACAAUGGGGGAAACCCUGAUCCAGCGACGCCCGCGUGAGUGAAGAAGUAUUUCGGUAUGUAAAGCUCUAUCAGCAGGGAAGAUAAUGACAGUACCUGACUAAGAAGCCCCGGCUAACUACGUGCCAGCAGCUGC
RNAcentral lists this ribosomal RNA (492 nucleotides) under uncultured bacterium. RNAcentral's name for it is "bacterial SSU rRNA". It matches the Rfam family "Bacterial small subunit ribosomal RNA", at positions 15 to 518 of the family's 1533-position model. The record is from RNAcentral.